Molecule: long non-coding RNA, 171 nt
Organism: Thalassophryne amazonica
Lineage: Eukaryota; Metazoa; Chordata; Actinopteri; Batrachoidiformes; Batrachoididae
Exons: 3
Source: RefSeq, a predicted model, not a curated record
UUGAAGCAAAACAAACAAAAUGAAAAAAAAAAUUGCUGUGUCCUGAGGUGAAUUAGCUCCCAUCAUGCAAUGAGACUGUGUUCUGUUAGCAAGUGUUCAAGUGUCAUUAUCAUCAUUAUACAUUUUUCCUGAUAGAUCUCUACAACAUUGUGGGGCUGUAAAAUACUUUGG